AGAGUUGAUCCUGGCUCAGGACGAACGCUGGCGGCGUGCUUAACACAUGCAAGUCGAACGGAAAGGCCCUUCGGGGUACUCGAGUGGCGAACGGGUGAGUAACACGUGGGUGAUCUGCCCUGCACUUUGGGAUAAGCCUGGGAAACUGGGUCUAAUACCGAAUAUGACCGCAUGCUUCAUGGUGUGUGGUGGAAAGCUUUUGCGGUGUGGGAUGGGCCCGCGGCCUAUCAGCUUGUUGGUGGGGUAAUGGCCUACCAAGGCGACGACGGGUAGCCGGCCUGAGAGGGUGACCGGCCACACUGGGACUGAGAUACGGCCCAGACUCCUACGGGAGGCAGCAGUGGGGAAUAUUGCACAAUGGGCGCAAGCCUGAUGCAGCGACGCCGCGU
Molecule: ribosomal RNA, 389 nt
Filed under: uncultured bacterium
Lineage: Bacteria
Description: bacterial SSU rRNA
Rfam family: Bacterial small subunit ribosomal RNA
Source: RNAcentral